Molecule: long non-coding RNA, 657 nt
Organism: Drosophila ananassae
Lineage: Eukaryota; Metazoa; Arthropoda; Insecta; Diptera; Drosophilidae
Exons: 2
Source: RefSeq, a predicted model, not a curated record
UUCCUUCGAGUCCGCUUCGCACCGUUGCUGUCUUUUUGUUUUCCUCAAUAUCGCCUCGAAUACCUUCGGUGUCGCCGGUUCACGUGGAAAAGAACGCAAGCUUCACGCCGCCAUUCGGACCUACCUCACACCGGUUCGAUCGUACAUGAUCCCCCCUGUCGCUGGGCUGCCAACUCCUGUAACUUUACCCCUAUCGAUAUUUUUCGGCGUUGCCACCUCGACCAUCUCUGCCUGCCUCUGUUACACAUAAACAGGGAUUGUCAAGAGCAGGGCCGGCGAUCUGGGUGGAUCGGUGGGUGGACGGCGUGGUCGAGUGCAGGGAUCAAUGGUGUCGGGCAGGUAGAAUCGUAGUAUAUGUAGUGGGUGGUGGUGAGGUGAGCCAUAAAAAAUCCACAAGCUUAUAUUUGCGUAGGCUGGGACUUAGGCUUUCGACCGCUCGGGACUUUCCCCUGUUUAUUCUUUAAGUAAUGAGCACUGGAAUUUCCGCGCAAUAGUCUCAAAGAUCGACGACAGAUCGUAAACUGCCACCUACCUAACACAAUGCAGGACUCGUAAACGAAUGCUGGGAUGCGGUGCCAAAUACCUGAGUCUGCGCCAGAGCCAGAGCCUAAGGACUCGCUCACAGGAAGGGCACUCAUCAGAUAAGCAAAGGGCGUC